Molecule: long non-coding RNA, 467 nt
Organism: Scleropages formosus (Asian bonytongue)
Lineage: Eukaryota; Metazoa; Chordata; Actinopteri; Osteoglossiformes; Osteoglossidae
Exons: 4
Source: RefSeq, a predicted model, not a curated record
UCGGACGGAUGUCAUAGUUCAAACUGGUACUAGUAUGUUCUUAUAAGGACUAAAUAUGAAUUCGUCUCUUACUCUGCAACAUUCACUGAGUAGUGGGGGAGCCUUUUUGAAAAUUUGGCAUAAGGCAGCCUCUUCUGGCACAGUAUGCUUCAGGUUUAUACUUCUGAACACUUCCCAUGUACUGUAGUACCAAAAUGACCAUCGGCAUAGAGGAAUGACAUACUCCAAAGAUUUCUGGAGCUGUUUCUUUCCGCCCUUCAUGGCCAAACUCUCAGCCUCAUCCAGACGAUGCUGAAGGUCCUUGACUGUGACCUCCAGGUUCUUCUUCAUCCUCUCCAGCAUUCCUUGCUUCUUGGAUGGUGUCUUCCACCUCUCCUUGGACUUGGACAAGGUCAUACCUCCUCUCCAUCAUCUUCACAAACUCCCUCCUCAUGACGUAACCUCGGCACAAGGCCUGAGUCAUGGUG